Molecule: ribosomal RNA, 308 nt
Filed under: uncultured Methanosaeta sp.
Lineage: Archaea; Methanobacteriati; Methanobacteriota; Methanomicrobia; Methanotrichales; Methanotrichaceae
Description: bacterial SSU rRNA
Rfam family: Archaeal small subunit ribosomal RNA
Source: RNAcentral
CCUAUGGGAUGCAGCAGGCGCGAAAACUUUACAAUGCUGGCAACAGCGAUAAGGGAACCUCGAGUGCCAGGUUACAAAUCUGGCUGUCGAGAUGCCUAAAAAGCAUUUCAUAGCAAGGGCCGGGCAAGACCGGUGCCAGCCGCCGCGGUAACACCGGCGGCUCGAGUGGUGAGCGGUAUUUCUGGGUUAGGGGUGAAAUCUUGUAAUCCUUGAAGGACCACCAGUGGCGAAGGCGUCUCACCAGAACGGACCUGACGGCAAGGGACGAAAGCUAGGGGCACGAACCGGAUUAGAUACCCACGUAGUCC